RNAcentral lists this long non-coding RNA (4581 nucleotides) under Sus scrofa (pig). Its description in RNAcentral is "lncRNA (ENSSSCG00000061085.1)". The record is from RNAcentral. Lineage: Eukaryota; Metazoa; Chordata; Mammalia; Artiodactyla; Suidae.
UUUUUUUUUUUUGCCAUAUGGAGGUUCCCAGGCUAGAGGUCUAAUUGGAGCUGUAGUUGCCAGCCUAUACCACAGCCACAGCAACGUGGGAUCCGAGCCAUGUCUGCAACCUACACCACAGCUCACAGCAAUGCCAGAUCCUUAACCCAUUAAGCAAGGCCAGGGAUCGAACCCACAACCCCAUGGUUUCUAGUCGGAUUCAUUAACCACUGUGCCAUGAUGGGAACUCCCAAAAUCACAUAUUUAAAUUUCCAGUUGUUUACUGCUGGUAUAUAGAAAGCAAUUUACUAUUGUAUUAACCUUACUUCUGUAUCCUGCAGCCUCACUGCCUCAUUUACUAGUUACAGGAGUGUUUGUGGGCAUCAAUUUGGGGGAAUUUUUACACAGAAAAUCAUGUCAUCUCUGACUAAAAAGAGGUUUUGUUUCUUUCUUCCCAAUCUUUAUUUUUGUUCUUAUCUACUAGACUAGUUAGGACUUCAAGUAGAAUAUCAUGUUAUUUAUCAGUGAUGCAUGGCAGUAUGCUUGCAUUACUUCUAAUCUUAAGUAGACGUUGUCUCAUAUGGUAACCAUUGGCCACAAAUUGAACAUUUGACAUGAGGCUAAACUGAGAUAUGAUCUGAGUAUAAAAUAUAUAUAAAAUUUCUAAUACUUCAUAUGAAAAAAUAAAAUUUAAUAACCUUUUGUACUGAUCACAUGUUUAUAUGGUCUAUUAUUUAAAAAUUUUCCUUGUUUCAUUUUUAGUGCAAGCUAUUGAAAAGUUAACAUUAUAUAUGUAUAAUAUUCAUAUGUAUAUACAUAUAUUUGGGGGGACAGUGGAAACAUAAAUUCUGAAAAUCAGAAAAUUCACAAGCAACAUAUACUGAUCAGAGGCCAAUUAAAGUAGAAGUCAACAGGAAAAAACUUGAUCCCCAAAUUUUUCAACCCUUUGAAAAUUAUGAAAUAUUCUUAAAAUCUUAAAUUUAUGAUGUAAUUCCUACAUCAAUGAAAAAACUGCAGUUGAAAUAAUAAUUUUCUGAAAAGUAAAAAAUACAUCUGAAACUUCCAAAUUAUAAUAAAGCUGUACUCAAAGGUAACAUCACAGCAUUAAAUUCUCUUUUAUUUAAAAUAGGAAACUGGGAGUUCCCAUUAUGGCUCAGCAGUAAGGAACCUGAAUAGUAUCCAUGAGGAUGUGAGUUCAAUCCCUGGCUUUGCUCAGUGGGUUAAAAGAUCUGGGGUUUCUGUGAGCUGUGGUCUAGGUUGCAGACAUGGCUCAGCUUCCACAUUGCCAUGGAUGUGGUAUAUGCCUGCAGCUGCGGCUCCAGCUCUGAAUCUCCAACCCUUAGCCUGGGAACUUAUGCCACUGGUACAGACCUAAAAAGCAACAACAACAAAAAAACACCUGAAAAUAUAUAGAUUUCAUUCAAUUUAAAAAAUUGGAAAAAAAGAUCAGCCAAAUAUAUCCACUCAUUAAAAAAAGAAAGAGGAUAAUAACUUAAACUUACAAAUCACAAAAUCACAUUAUCAGUUUAGUGGGCAGUGAUUCUACUCUAUGGCCUGGAAUGCUGAUGUAAUACCUAAGACAUAGAGACCCUGAGGACAAAAAGCCACAUCCCAAGGUUGGUGUAACCAUGAACUGGAAGGUCCUCUGUGACAAAUUCCUUAUGGAGUCAUGCCUAACUGGGCUUCAUUCUCAUGAAUAACAAUUAAAUUCUAUCCUAUAUAUGCCAUACUUUAGACUUUUUUGCCACAGAAUCAUCUCACUUUCACAAUCGUGUGUAUGUGUAUGUGUAGAUAGGCAGUUAAACUAAUUUCAGCAUGAUCCCAUAUUGGUGGGGUGAAUUUUCCUUUUGAGUAUGUGUAUUUUGUAUGAUACUGAAUAUUUAUUAAAAAUUACAAGUUCAGUGUUAAUACUAAGUUAUAAAAAUUUUGCAAGUAGUUUUAAAAAACUGGCCUGUCCAAUUUAUUUCAAACCUGAAAACUGUCUCUUAGCUAUGAUUUCAGUGUCCUUCUUAAAGAACUGAGAAUAGUGUCAAUAAGAGGGUGGAAUAAAAAGAUAAAACUGUGAAGUUAUUUUCAAUAUUUAUUAUACUUAAUUAAAAUUCUCAUGUAUUUACUAAUGAACUCAUUCCUUUUAAAAUAUUCUGAAUAAUCUGAAAUCCUAUAGUGCUGUUUUAACUCUGCACUUUCUUAAAGUGGUCUGACAGAAGAGGUCACUAUUGAAACUAUAUACAGAAACUCAGUGUUAAAAUAAAGGGUAUGUUAUAUUAUUUUCUUAAGAAGUAAAACCACUAAAAAGCAAUAUCAUCUUAAUAAAAUAUGUAGAAUUCAAGGGUUUAGCUACCUUGAACAAUUAAUAGAUGUUUAUAAAAUUUCAUGUUUGGAGAAAGUUUGCUUUUUCUGCAUAGUAAAAUGUAUGGCCAAAUAUAUUCAGCACUAUAAUAAAGCGGCUUUAAAAAUUCUUGCACAAAACUGACAUUCAACCAUGUUCUAACAGUUCAGAUACUGGCAAGGUCUACAAAGAUGCCACUGAAAAAUAUAUAUAGAGCAUAAUUUUCAUUCCUUUGCUGUCAGGGUAACAUGUGUGCUUCAUAUGCUUUAGUGAAGUCUAGCAGUACAAAUGUGUCAAAAAAUCAUAAAAAUUUGUCUUCUAUGACUAACAUAUAGGAUUUAGGACCCUAGUAUUUGGGAUAUUUAUCUCUAAGGGGAAAAAAAGAAUUUAUUCUUGGACAAAUACAUAUACCUUAUGUUUAACACAUUUUCCUGCAGAAUUUAAUGAAACAAUUUACUGAAGUAGCCUUAUUCCUUGUGUAAUUCCCCACCCUGUACCCAACAUAAUAGCCUGAAAUUUAGCAUAGGACUCCAUGCAGGGAUUUCAGAACUGGUAUUAGAAGGGGAAAAAAGUAUGUUAAUUAAACUUAUGACUAUCAAAAGGAAAUUACCUUCUACUAAAUUUGCCUUAUAACUCUACUCAGGUGUUUGCCAUGGGAGAUAGAUAAAAUGAAUUAUUGUAUUAGUCUGGAUCAUUUUAUUGCAGGUAACAGACACUAAACCCAAUUAGGUUGAAGUAAAAAUUUAAUAACUCAUAAAAAUGGGAAGUUGAAGAUGGAGGUUGGUAUCAGAUAGAGCUGACAGGACUAGAGUUCAGUUGGUUUCUCCUUGUCACCACUCUGCUUAUUUUUUCUUGCCUCUACUCGACAUCCUAUUUCAGGCUUGUAUUCUUAUAUGGUAGGAAAUAACUAUGGCCAUAACAUGUUGCCAACUUUAGAAGUUCAGUAGAAGGAAUCUAUAUUAAUAAAAGAUAGGAGAUCAUUUGUUUUCUGAUAUAUGAAGGCAUCUGCCAUCAUGAUUUGUGGUGGUUUAGAGUGUGAUGUCUCUGCAAUUAGGCCUUCGUCUAAAACUGGAAGAAAAAAACUAAAGCCCUGAGGUCAAAAUUUAAAGGACAGUUUUCUCAAGAAAGAUUUUUUUUUUCAGUCUUAUGAUCGUCUCCCUUGGUCUCCAGACUUCUGCGUGAAGUUCAGACUUCCUACCAAAUUCUCCUAUCUUGCUAGUUGUGUUAUUAAAUCUAUGGUUAGUAAUAAACUACAAUGUACAAAUCAAACAUUAUAGUUACCUAUUUCUACUUCUUAUGAAAAAUAUUGACCUAGAUAAUCCUCAUAUGGUAGUAUCAUACAGUUCAUUAGAGACUCUUUUACUUUCCUUUUUUUCCUACUCUUUGAAUAUUUCUUGAAAAUAUUCUUAUAUUUCUUAUUCACUGUUUUUUUUAGUUUUUCUCUUUCAUAUUUUGUCAAAACAACUCUAGGUUGUUCUUCCUUUUCGAAAUAGAUAUUUUUUUUCAAACCUACUGUAAAGCAUACUUCUUUGUUUUUUAAUAUGCAAUUAAAGAUAUGUUAUGUGGAGCAAAAAAAAGUCACCUAUAGUUAACAUUAAACCUCAUAUAAGAUUUAACAAAUAUUUUAUUUCAUAUAUUUUUUAAAAUAUAAAUUCAUAUAUUUAAAAAGAUAACUAAAAUAUUAAAUAGGAUGUUUCUAGUUCUUUCUGUUUUUGUAUUUGCAAAAGUUAAUUUUGUAUUACUGAAUCAGUUCCUCUGUUGAGCUAAAUAUGUGGAUGUUCAACACUGCCAUGGUAGCAAUUUUUUGAAAUUCUUUAAUCAAUACACAGGAUAGGUAUGGAAUGUAGGAGAGAAUAGAUAUGAUAAGAGAGAUAAUUAGAAUAAAUUAAAUACUAAUUUUCUAUUUAACCAUUCCAUUAGUCUAGUGUUUCCAAAGGUGAAUUACCUUGAUAUUCUUUCAGGUGAUAGGUCUAUGAGGUCAAAACUCUUUUUUAUAAUAAUACUACGAUGUCAUUUUCUUUCACCACUUUCCUUCUCUCAUGAGUCUAUAGAGCAGUAUUCCAGAGACUACAUGAUAAACGACAUCAUUGUGCUGAUGAGAUAGAAUCUAUGCUUGUGUUCUUGUGUUUUCUAAAAUGUUCUGAUGUGGUGGUAUAUUUAUGGUAUAAAUAUGUGCAUUUUUAGAGAUUAACUCAGUUUGUUCCUGGAACUUAUAUUUUGAUCUUGCUAGUUGUCUUUGUUUAUAUCCCCUCUAAUCUCUGUAUCCUCCUAUC